UGGGUUAAAAGAAAUCAUUAACUUAUAGUCUGCUUUUAAAAAGUAAUUAAGAAAAAAAGAAAAGAAAAGAAAUAGUUUUGUUGUCUGCUUGUGGUGUAAAUGUUUGGUCAAAGCCCUUCCCUUUAGGUGAAGUAACCUUGACCCACUCAUUAUUUUGGUUAUCAUUUCACUCUGAAGUUAGGGUUUAUGAUUCUUUUAUUGUAUUGUAUUGGGGUUAGCUUUCUGCAGCUUAGGCUUUCACUAUGAAAUUACGACUUGGUACAAGCCGUGGGUCGAAGUAUGCUUUUUUUUAUCAUAAUUGAUGCAUGCAUGGGAAAGAUCAUCAUCAUGGUCACCAUCUGUAUUGGGCUCCGGUCACGUGCACCUUUGGAUUCUUAUCUCUGUUAACACAGCCUACACCUCGUCCCUCUCGACCCCUCCCCAUGUGAGCUCGAGCUCCCCUCCAAAAAGGACUUUCAUUGUCGUAUUUAAUAUCGAAAAUACCACUUUGUCAUUUAGCUUCGAGAAAACGGCUCCCGUGCGUUUGUGUGGGUAACUCUGAAGAGAGAGGCCGAGGCUGAGAGGCUCAGGGAUGAUGUCACACGUACGGAUGGGUCAUGGGUUCUUGAUGUUCUUCCCAAUACAUACUUCCCCUUUUAUCUCUGUUUCUUUUUCUUGUGUUGUCUUUGAUCUGGCCGCGUUAUUGUAAUGUAAAAGACCAACCUUAGAACAUGCUACACACAUUUUUACCGUAAAAAAUAUGAAUCAAGUCCUGACUAUUCUCUUCUCCCACUAUGCCAUUAGAAAUAUAAACCAAGUGGUAAGAAUUUAAGGCACAGUAUAUACUGUCAGUGCUUUAACUCGGGCAUGUCUUGUAUAUUAUAAUGCUUGUUGUCAUUGUAUUCUGCUGCUUUUAUCAGAUGUUCAUCUUGAAGGAUGUUAAUGGCAUUAGAAACUUUAUUCGAUGAAAGUUGCUUGAAGGGCAUAAAUCUCAUACUCUGUCCCCCAGUUUCUCUUAUCUUGAACAAAGAUGAUAACUUAUAAAUCUAUGACAUUCUGGUAGGAUCCAUCAAGUAUAAUCUGUAAUCUUACAACAUUGGUGACUAUUCUCAAUCAACCUUAUUGGUAAUUUGGUCUACCAUUUAGAGAUUGCGACAGUUUGGUUGAUGGGGUAUUGUACCCCAAAAUGAAUGGGAAAAGAGCUAAAACACAAAGCAGAGCACUAGCUACUUUCUAGGAAAACAUUGCUUUCCAGUUUUCUUUUUAGGGCUUUCCCUUUUCCUUUAUGAGUUUCAGACUGGUAAGCAUCAGAAUUCCACACCUAGAACUGAAAACAUCGUGGAAACCAGGACACAAAACCUCCUUGUCCACCUGUGUGAACUGAAAACCUCUGCCUAGAUGCAAGUGAUGAGCUUUAUCGUUAUCCUAGCACAAGUGUCCAAAGGCUUUGUUGUGGCAAAAGGUAAGGGCAUUAUUGUCGCUAUAAGUUUUUAACACCGGGGCCCAUAUAAGCGGACCCUACCCUCACUUGGUUACAUAAACUUACAUUUUGCUAAAGACAGAGCCACCCCCUCUCUCUCUGUGGCUCUGCAGUCUGUACCUCUGAAGCCACAGCCCAACGAUACCACCAACCAAAGAUCUUCUUCAUCCAAUAGUCUCCUCCAUUCGAUUGACUGUCCCAAAAAAGGUCACACACGUAUUUCACCUCCAAUGGCCGAAACAAAUUGAAAGAUUACCGAGAAAAAUUGAAAAUGGAAUCAGGGAGACCACAUCGCACAGCAAGCACUAAUAGCAGUAGCACCAGCGAGCUAUUCAUCUGCUUCACCUCGCGGCUUUCCUCCUCUUCCUCCAUGAAGCUCUCCAAAUCCAUCCUCAGCCCAGGCCGUACAAGAGAACCAUCCCAAAUCUCUCUCUCCUCCUCUCUAAGCCGAAGAUUGAAAAGCAGUGGUAGCAUGAAGGGCGGCCAGGCAUCGCCAAUGUUCCCAACUGGGGGCAAGAAACGAGGGUGCGCUUUCGAAAACCCGGAGCCUUCGUCCCCCAAAGUCACCUGUAUUGGCCAGGUGAGAGUCAAGACCAAGAAGCAUGGGAAAAAGAUGAGAACGAGAUCGAAAAGAAGAGGCGAAGCGAGCUUCCGGAUAGUGGAGCAGCAAAAUGCGACAGUUGUCACACAUCAAGAGCUUAACAUUCAGAAUAAUGCGACUAGUCAGUUUCAAAGCCACCAGAUUUUACAACAACAGCAUCAGGAGUGCUUGCCGCAUCGGAACCAAAGAUGGGUACAUCUACCAGUAACAAUUUGCGAAGCUUUGAGGGCUUUCGGUGCUGAGUUUAAUUGUUUCCUGCCGUGUCGGUCUUCUUGUAUGACAAGCGAGAGGGAAAAGGAAGAAAAGGCCGCAAGAUCGGACGGCGGUGAGAGUGGAAAUGUCAGUUCUUGUGGGGCUGUGUUUGGGAGGUGGCUGGUGACAAUGCAAGAAGGGGAAGACAAGGGGAGGGAGAUAGAGUUAGUAGUGGGAGAGGAAGACGGAGUGACGGAUAGGAGUCAGAGUCUGCGGAGGAGGGAGAUUUUUGAUGGGGGCUUUGAGAUCAAGGAGCAGGGGAAUGAGGUUGCUGAAGAAGAGGAAGCAAGGGUGAGUAUUUGUAUUCCUCCCAAGAACGCUCUGUUGCUCAUGAGGUGCAGAUCUGACCCAGUGAAAAUGGCGGCCUUGGCGAAUCGAUUUUGGGAGUCCCCGGUUCAGAAAGAUGAGGACGGCGAUGAAGAUGAGCGUCAGAAAGAUGAGGGAGAAGACCAAGGGGAUGUGGUAGUGGGUGAAGAAAGGCAAGGUAAAGUUGAGGUGGAAACAGAGGUAGAGGGGGAUGAGAUUCGUGAAAAGCGGGUUUCUGAUGGUGAAGAGUAUUCACACAUGAUUAUUGAGGAACAAGACGGGGGUGUAGAAGAAAACCCAGAAAGGAGCCUAGAAUAUGUCAAUGAGCUACAAGAACACCGAUUGGAGCAAGAUGACGACGAAGACGACGAUGAUGCAGAAGAAGACGUAGAAGACGAGGAAGAAGAAGAGUUAGAGUUGUGCCGGGUGGUACCAGCAGAAGAAUCUCAGUUGAGUUCCUCACCUGAAGCUCUCGUAGCUCGAGAGAACUCAGAGACGGAACAAAAUAUGCACAAGCUUGUUCAAAAGGAUGAGGAAGUCCACCAAAAUGAAGCCGAGGCGGCUCAUGAAGAACCAGAAGCAGAAGAUGACAAAGUGGCUAGCUUUUCAACUUCUUCUGUAAUUUCGGCACAGUCUGAGCAAGAAUCAGAAGCGCAAGAAGAAGGGCAAGAAGAGAAGACUGGAGCUUUAGCCAAAGAAGCAGAUGAGUCAAAGGAGGAGAAAGAGACGCAAGAGAGGCCUCGGGAAGACGGAGAGAUAGCGACCCACGAAAAACCCAAACCCGAAGUACGGAGUACCAACGAAGAUAAUCCGAGUUUAGAGUCAAAGACACGAGAAAGUCGAUCAAAGUCAGAGAGAGGGAGUUCGGGCUUGCCGGAUUGCUUGCUGUUAAUGAUGUGCGAGCCGAAGCUGUCCAUGGAGGUCUCCAAAGAAACCUGGGUUUGCAGUACGGACUUCAUCCGAUGCCUCCCAGAGAGACCGGUCAACAAAACGAACGGCGGAGAUGUGAUCAAGAAACGAGUCAGCACCGAGGACUCCAAUCCAACGUAUCCCGCGCAGCAGCAGCCGCCUCGAUCUUCGUGUUCGUUUCCUAUUGCGGCGGCUCCGGGAGCCGGCGCUUCGAUGGCUGGCAUGAUAGAGCAGAAGCUGGUGGGGUCCAACGGGUACGAGCCGUUCGUGCUGACACGGUGCAAAUCGGAACCAAUGAGGCCGUCGAGAAAGUUCGCACCGGAUGCUUGUUUCUGGAAGAAUCGGAAGCUGGAGCCUCACCGCCCGGCGACGUUUGGGGUGGGCGCGGCUGGGGUCGGAUUCUGAGCCGAGCUUUAUGAGAUGUGAACAAGAACAACGGCAAAUACUGCAGAACAAAAAGAAGAAAAAGUAAGACCAGUACAGUACAUUUGGCUUCAGAAGGACACAUGCUGGAUUUUUUGGACAGCUUCCUAUUGGCCUAAUUACUACAUGCUUGAAGUUUCUCAAUGAGUAAGUACCCUUUGGUGAUCCACUUGUACAGGAAAAAGAUACUGCAGGGCUUUUUACAUUAUCGUGCAUCAUUUGACCUUUGAUCCCCCUUGCUGCUGCUUACUUCAGUAGUAUUUGUGGCACUCUCAGCUGCUAAAUUUGGUGGCCCAUCACCUUUGCUUUGGUUUUCUAUAUUGGUAGAACCUUCCAUAAUGGAAUAAAUGGCGAGUUGACCAGAAUGAAGAAAUAAACCAAUAGAGUUGGCGCAAAAAACAAAGUUUGCAAGGUAGCACAACCCAUUUACAAUAGUCCUGCCAACAGCAAAAACAGAUGAUAAUGAGUUUUUUCACAUCAACAUGUGCUGGAAGGGAGUAGUAGUAGGAACUACCUCAUGGUUAUAGUUAUGGAGGACCUAAAAGAUUGGAAACAAGAGCAGUAUCAGAAUUAUAUGAUGACCAUCUCAAGACAUAUCAAUCAUCUCAAGCUUUUCUUGAACAGGCAAGGAUACUAUGUGUUAUGUAAAGAUAACAUGAAAGGUGUUUGUUGUGGAUUUUCCUUCAUUGGUGUUUAGGAAAGACCUCUGUCACAUGCAUCUGCAUAAAAAAUAAUUUCUCCCAUUUUGUUUUCUUGUAGACAACAAAUUGAUUACAGACAACUAUGCAUGUAUCACUGUCACAUGGUUUUGUAAUUAAAACAUGAGUUCGAUGGGACCCUCCUCAGCUGCAGAGGUGGAUGUUGGUUCAGGAACCUGGGCAAGCCAUGUCUCGGGUCUUGCUCGAGGGAGGGCUAAGAGAUGGUGGAGAGCAAUGGGUGUGUAAGGGAAGUUUAUAAGAACAGAUGAGGAAAGAGAGCAGUUGCGGAUGUGAGGGAAGGAGCCAGGGAAGUUGAGGCUCAGAAAGUGGCAGGAUUAAAGACUGCAACAUUUGAGGUUUUUCACGUUAUGGAUCAGUCACUUUUCGGCUAUUGUUGAUUGAAUUUGCGUUCCAUGAAACGGUUAUAAGACGUUGCUCCUGUUUUGAAAUGGAAGACAGAUACUAAAAUAUCUGGCAUGAAUUUUAGACUUU
Molecule: RNA transcript, 5140 nt
Organism: Carya illinoinensis
Lineage: Eukaryota; Viridiplantae; Streptophyta; Magnoliopsida; Fagales; Juglandaceae
Exons: 3
Source: RefSeq, a predicted model, not a curated record